Molecule: long non-coding RNA, 105 nt
Organism: Gavialis gangeticus (Gharial)
Lineage: Eukaryota; Metazoa; Chordata; Crocodylia; Gavialidae
Exons: 3
Source: RefSeq, a predicted model, not a curated record
UACAGCACAGGACCCCCAAGCCUCUUCAGGUGCUCCCCAAGCAGCUGGGGAUAGCAAAUGCUGUCCUGCCUUGCCGUAGACCCCAGAGGGCUGGAAGGAGACUCU